RNAcentral lists this ribosomal RNA (403 nucleotides) under uncultured bacterium. RNAcentral's name for it is "bacterial SSU rRNA". It matches the Rfam family "Bacterial small subunit ribosomal RNA", at positions 355 to 774 of the family's 1533-position model. The record is from RNAcentral.
UGGGGAAUCUUCCGCAAUGGACGAAAGUCUGACGGAGCAACGCCGCGUGGGUGACGAAGGUUUUCGGAUCGUAAAACCCUGUCAAGAAGGAAGAAAAAAGACGGUACUUCUGAAGGAAGCCCCGGCUAACUACGUGCCAGCAGCCGCGGUAAUACGAAGGGGGCAAGCGUUGUUCGGAAUUACUGGGCGUAAAGCGCACGCAGGCGGCGUGACGCGUCAGAAGUGAAAUCCCCGGGCUCAACCUGGGAACUGCUUUUGAAACGGUCAUGCUUGAAUCAUGGAGAGGGUAGCGGAAUUCCGAGUGUAGAGGUGAAAUUCGUAGAUAUUCGGAAGAACACCGGUGGCGAAGGCGGCUACCUGGCCAUGUAUUGACGCUCAGGUGCGAAAGCGUGGGGAGCAAACA